This 122-nucleotide unclassified non-coding RNA is filed under the name uncultured Ascomycota. RNAcentral describes it as "sequence contains ITS1". Lineage: Eukaryota; Fungi; Ascomycota. The record is from RNAcentral.
CUGAAUGGUCUUUUUGGCCUUCUACCCUUCAAACCUGUGGAAGCAACAUGUGCUUCGGCGCCCUUGGGCGCCGCUUUUUCUUGCCAGAAUAGACGUUGUGUCUGAAUCUGAAUCCAGAAUCA